AAUAGGGCCUAAGAGGUCACAGCCUGGACCAAGAUCUUUUGUGCUAGGGACUGAACCCUAACCCUAACCCUGCUUCCGAAGAAUUGAUGACCAGCCAUUGUAGGAAGCACAAAGGAAAGUUCAUCAACAGAAUCCCAAGUUUUCCUUUGACACCUAACAAAACCCCCUUCAGAUGUAGCACCUGGGCUGCAGUUUCAUGUGUUACUAUUAAAAUUCCUCUGAGAUUCA
This is a long non-coding RNA of Gavialis gangeticus (Gharial), 228 nucleotides long. RefSeq lists it as uncharacterized. Lineage: Eukaryota; Metazoa; Chordata; Crocodylia; Gavialidae. The transcript has 2 exons. The record is from RefSeq and is a predicted model, not a curated record.